The sequence is a small nucleolar RNA, 183 nucleotides long. It matches the Rfam family "Small nucleolar RNA snR161".
CUAGCUAAAAUAAACCAGUCUAUUUGGCUGUCCAGAGGUCUACCAUGUUUGGACAGUCUCUCUAAUCUGGGAAAUCAGAGCUUCACCGUGCACGUUUGCGUGCAAUUGAUGAAGGUUGAACAACUUAAGUUCCGCUGUGGUACUACAGAGACGUAACAUAGCUCUAUUGUUGUUUGUACAUUU